RNAcentral lists this ribosomal RNA (460 nucleotides) under uncultured bacterium. RNAcentral's name for it is "partial 16S ribosomal RNA". It matches the Rfam family "Bacterial small subunit ribosomal RNA", at positions 338 to 795 of the family's 1533-position model. The record is from RNAcentral.
CCUACGGGGUGCAGCAGUGAGGAAUAUUGGUCAAUGGGCGCGAGCCUGAACCAGCCAAGUCGCGUGAGGGAUGACGGUCCUAUGGAUCGUAAACCUCUUUUAUAUGGGAAUAAAGUGUGGGAUGUGUCCUAUUUUGUAUGUACCUUAUGAAUAAGGAUCGGCUAACUCCGUGCCAGCAGCCGCGGUAAUACGGAGGAUCCGAGCGUUAUCCGGAUUUAUUGGGUUUAAAGGGUGCGUAGGCGGCCUUUUAAGUCAGCUGUGAAAGUCUGUGGCUCAACCAUAGAAUUGCCGUUGAAACUGGGGGGCUUGAGUAUGUUUGAGGCAGGCGGAAUGCGUGGUGUAGCGGUGAAAUGCUUAGAUAUCACGAAGAACCCCGAUUGCGAAGGCAGCCUGCCAAGCCAUGACUGACGCUGAUGCACGAAAGCGUGGGGAUCAAACAGGAUUAGAUACCCCUGUAGUC